Poecilia latipinna (sailfin molly) is the source of this 190-nucleotide small nuclear RNA. Its record names the gene U2. It matches the Rfam family "U2 spliceosomal RNA". From Rfam's summary of the family: U2 is a small nuclear RNA (snRNA) component of the spliceosome (involved in pre-mRNA splicing). Lineage: Eukaryota; Metazoa; Chordata; Actinopteri; Cyprinodontiformes; Poeciliidae. The record is from Ensembl.
AUCGCUUCUCGGCCUUUUGGCUAAGAUCAAGUGUAGUUUCUGUUCUUAUCAGUUUAAUAUCUGAUAGUCCUCCAAACGAGGACCAUGCAUUAAAUUGAUUUUUGGAACAAGGAGCUGGAACAGGGGCUUGCCCCGUCCUCUCCACGCAUUGACCUGGUAUUGCAGUACCUCCAGGAACAGUGCACCUCCA